AGAGUUUGAUCCUGGCUCAGGACGAACGCUGGCGGCGUGCUUAACACAUGCAAGUCGAACGGUGAAAGAGGAGCUUGCUCCUCUGGAUCAGUGGCGAACGGGUGAGUAACACGUGAGUAACCUGCCCUUGACUCUGGGAUAACCUCGGGAAACCGAAGCUAAUACCGGAUACGACCCUCGGAGGCAUCUCCAGGGGGUGGAAAGAAUUUCGGUCAAGGAUGGACUCGCGGCCUAUCAGGUAGUUGGUGAGGUAACGGCUCACCAAGCCGACGACGGGUAGCCGGCCUGAGAGGGUGACCGGCCACACUGGGACUGAGACACGGCCCAGACUCCUACGGGAGGCAGCAGUGGGGAAUAUUGCACAAUGGGCGCAAGCCUGAUGCAGCAACGCCGCGUGAGGGACGACGGCCUUCGGGUUGUAAACCUCUUUUAGUAGGGAAGAAGCGAAAGUGACGGUACCUGCAGAAAAAGCACCGGCUAACUACGUGCCAGCAGCCGCGGUAAUACGUAGGGUGCAAGCGUUGUCCGGAAUUAUUGGGCGUAAAGAGCUCGUAGGCGGUUUGUCGCGUCUGCUGUGAAAUCCCGAGGCUCAACCUCGGGCCUGCAGUGGGUACGGGCAAACUAGAGUGCGGUAGGGGAGAUUGGAAUUCCUGGUGUAGCGGUGGAAUGCGCAGAUAUCAGGAGGAACACCGAUGGCGAAGGCAGAUCUCUGGGCCGUAACUGACGCUGAGGAGCGAAAGCGUGGGGAGCGAACAGGGUUAGAUACCCUGGUAGUCCACGCCGUAAACGUUGGGAACUAGAUGUGGGGACCAUUCCACGGUCUCCGUGUCGCAGCUAACGCAUUAAGUUCCCCGCCUGGGGAGUACGGCCGCAAGGCUAAAACUCAAAGGAAUUGACGG
This 899-nucleotide ribosomal RNA is filed under the name uncultured bacterium. Its description in RNAcentral is "bacterial SSU rRNA". It matches the Rfam family "Bacterial small subunit ribosomal RNA", at positions 8 to 916 of the family's 1533-position model. The record is from RNAcentral.